UACGAAGGGUGCAAACGUUGCUCGGAAUCAUUGGGCGUAAAGCGCACGUAGGCGGCUUUGCAAGUCGGAUGUGAAAUCCCGUGGCUCAACCAUGGACGUGCAUUCGAAACUGCGAAGCUUGAGUAUGGAAGAGGGUCGCGGAAUUCCCGGUGUAGAGGUGAAAUGCGCAGAUAUUGGGAAGAACACCAGUGGCGAAGGCGGUUCUCUGGGACGGUACUGACGCUGAGACGCGAAAGCGUGGGGAGCGAACAGG
This 253-nucleotide ribosomal RNA is filed under the name uncultured bacterium. RNAcentral describes it as "partial 16S ribosomal RNA". It matches the Rfam family "Bacterial small subunit ribosomal RNA", at positions 524 to 776 of the family's 1533-position model. The record is from RNAcentral.